UACUGCCACCUCAUUUCCUCCCUCUAGUUUUAGUUAAAAAAAAAAAAAAACUUUCUCUCAUUAUCUUCUUCGUUUCUGUAAACAGAUAGGCUAAAAAGCCGAGGACCACACACUCUUCUCUGGCAAACCACUCUACAGACCACCACCUUAACUCUCAUUUUAUCUCAUCCCGUUUCUUUCUCUCUCUCACUCAACCUCUUAUUACCUAUCUCUUUCUCUCUCACUUAUGUAACACAGAACCGGCGACCCAUCGCCAUUUGCCAUCUCCGGCGAGCCCAGCUGAAUCACCCACUUGCUGCAGGCCUUGCAGCAAGUCACCAGCAACCAUGAUGCUCCUUUAGCAACCUUCUAUUUCUCCUUCACUUUGUAAGCAUAGAGGCAGCACCACCACCACUUAACCUCUCAAACUCUGGCAAGUUCUCGCCAUUCCCAGCGAAGGUUCAAAUGACAAAGUUGGCAAGAAAAUGCAAUUUGGAACAUUUUAGAGCAGUUUUGGGCUAAGAAUAGAUAGCAUAUAAAUGGAGCAUAAUGGAUGGACAUUUUUAAAGUUUAAAGAGGCUAGGAAUGUGCUACAAAUAUGGAAGAAUGAAAUCAAGACUUGGAGGAUAAGGAAUCAGGUAAAAAGAGGGAACAUUAUCUUAACCAACCUUAUCUUAUCCAACAUUAUCCAAACUAACUUUAUCUUAUCUUAUCCUAUUCUAAUCUUAUCCUACCUGAUUUCCAGCUGCAAGGAGAACAUCUAAAUGACAUUAGGAUACCUACAAAUCAAGUUUCUAGAAGCCAAGCCCUUUCCCUAAAAUCAUGCCGCACCUAGCCUUUCUAGAAGGUCUUUUCCCUAUUCCUAAAAGGGUGCCACAUCCACCCCUUAUAGAAGCUAUGUUUCCUACUGUAAGGACCAUUCCUUUUCCUCCCUGGAAUCUGAAUGAGAAAUGUCCUUUUUCCUUGUUGAUUUGGAGUCCUGAUUUCCAUCCUUCUCAACCCUUAGUCGUGCCUUCCUUUCUCCCUAUAAAUACAUUGUGCUGCAGCAAUCAUAAAUGAUCCAUCUCUCACCACAAUUCGCACCGCACAUCCAUCAUACACAAAAAUCUCUCUAGUGCCGUAGCCUUGCAAGGAGAAAGGAAAUGAGACCCUUGGAGCCGUGCCCUGUUAUUCAAGCUUGGAUUGCUGGAACGUUCCUAAAUGUAUUCUAUCUUUUGUUUUCAAUGUUUAAUUUAAGUUA
This is a non-coding RNA of Malus domestica (apple), 1219 nucleotides long. The record is from RefSeq and is a predicted model, not a curated record. Lineage: Eukaryota; Viridiplantae; Streptophyta; Magnoliopsida; Rosales; Rosaceae.